Molecule: long non-coding RNA, 9640 nt
Filed under: Sorghum bicolor (sorghum)
Lineage: Eukaryota; Viridiplantae; Streptophyta; Magnoliopsida; Poales; Poaceae
Description: long non-coding RNA (SBIC_LNC012421)
Rfam family: Plant small nucleolar RNA R71 (bases 4444-4550)
Source: RNAcentral
GAGUCUUCUAGAUGUAAGAUAAUUGCGCGUCACGUUAAUAUCUUUACGUAAUCCCGACGUGUGGGUCUUUCUUCCGUAUUUCCUGAUAACUCCCUGCAGAAAUAGACAAACACCAAAACUCGUGGAAUUCUGUCAGAUAAAACCCUAAGUCUAGAUGUUGAUUUCAUUUGGAUCCUUUUCUUUGUUUAUUUGAUAAUUAAAUUUGAUACUUAAGGACCGUCAACAAACUCCCCCAAGCUUACCUCUUGCUCGUCCCUGAGCAAGGAUAGACUCAGCUAUGGAUCAUAAGUUGUUGCAAUAUAUUUAAAAAUUGACGGUACACAUGCUUUUUAAAUAAGAUCUCAUCUCUAAGUUAGAGUAAACUGUCAAGACUUAAAACUUACUUACUUUACCUUCACCAUGGGACUUGUAACUGUCACUUCUAUCUUGAGUAGUUAAACGAUAGAACAGUCUAGUCAAGUGCCAUGUCUCUUAUUCUUGAUCAGCUAUAGCUCUGGGGUUUUUGCAGAUUUUCAAAUAAAACUCAGAGAUUCCUUGUAUGACUCUCUCAGAUCUCUCUUUUGUGGUAUUUCUGGAUCCUUACCAAGGCAGUAAUGGUAUAUGCCUUCUCACAAUAUAUGUGGUAUUUGUGGUAUAAAGCAUAGUGACAUUGCCUUCUCUCUCACCCUACUCUAAUAAGGCUUUAAUAUCUGGAGCUCAUAGGUGGGAGAUAAAGUAUACAUACUUACAAGACAUGUAUUGUAUAGUCAAACCAUGGAUCCAAAGAAACAAAUCAAUAAGCCAAAUCAAGAUGUGCAUGUGUGGCGAAUGAAUGAUGUAUGGUGGUGAUGGUGAUAACAAUGGUGAAAACAAUGGUGGUGGAAGUCUAAUUCUACUUUGCUCUUUGAGGGGAUACAUACCUUCCUUGCUUUUUUUUUGAAUUUAUGAGGAGAAUGAGAUGCUCUUCUUUUUUUCUUUUCUCUCAGGUGGGUAUCUUGUACCCCUAAUUCUACUGUCGGACACUUGUCCAUUUUUACCUCUCGUCUCACUCUCUCUUUUCUUUCGAGGUUCCGAGCACUUGCACCUUUUUAUUUCCUCAUAUUUCUCUUUUUUUUUCUUUUUCUUUUUUUUAGAGCAUUCAUCUCUUGAGAUAAUAUAGCAAGUGGUAGUAACAAGAUAACUUGAGCAUUUAUUUCACAAGGGAAACAUAAAUAUUUUUGGCUAUUCUCUCCCGGAUUAGGAGUAGAAUAUUUUUGGGUGAUUCUGGAGAUGGAAUGGGUGGAUAUAUGUGGAUGGUACUUCCGGAGUAGAAGUAGCAUAUAUGAGUGAACGUACAAGUGAAUCUUGAUUUAACCACAUGACAAGUUCCUAAGGGUCUACACAGCUUGACCACACUCAAUGCUCAUAAGCAGUAAAUAGUAAAUGUGUGGCUCAAAGUCUAGCAAGCAUGUAUAUAUGGCUGUGGUAGGAAUUUAAACUCUCAUCAUACAUGAACUCAUCAUGCAACAUUUUAAAGAUUUUCAAAGAUAAAAUUCUCUAGAAAUCUAGCAUCUCUAGGAACAGAUAAACAGCAGCUCAACCUUCCCAUAUCGUAUCCGUUAACAACUUAGACUUCAGAUCAAAUUUUCAUCCCACAAGUUUAGGUCUAGAGCAAGCUUUAAAUUAUAACAGUUAUAUAUAUCCUUGAGAGUGAACUUAAAAUGUGCAAAUUAGGCAGAGCAACUAUUCAUCAUUUCCAUACUUAAGUUUUAUUUAGAUACAGAUUAGCAUCGCCACUUUAUUUAUUUAUUAAACACACUAAGCAAAAGAUAUAUAUAUAAGCUUAAAAUCUUUAUUUGGUUUUUUAUAGUUUAUGUAUAUUUAAUAUUCUAAUAUAAUAUAAGUAUAAAGAUAGAUAGAAAUACUUAUCGAGAUAAAUGGGGGUGCUCUCUCCCAAGCUGAAUUUUGACGUAAUUUCUCUUGAUGUAGCUAGCAGGUGGCAGAGGUGUAUUUGAAAGUCAGCAGCAUUCUGACAGCGAUUAGAAUGUCCUCCGUCUGCUAGUCUUCUUGAUUCUUAAAUUCUGCGGAGCUCAAAUAGACAACAAAGCUUGUGGAACUGAUUAAGUGUUAGCAUAAAUAUCUAGCCUUUAUCAUCUUGAGACUCCUUAAUAAUUAUUACUCCCUGUUUUUAUAUUUUUAUUUUAUAAAGCAGAAAAGAAAUUUUUAUUUUAUUUUUAUGCCACCACAGUGAAUGUACUUAUGGGUUUUAUGCCACUCGCAUACUCACAUGGGGCUUACUGUUUUUCGCAUUUUUAUUUUCUUUUAUUUUUAAGAUAGUACGAACAUGAUUAACUAAGUAAACUAGUUGAAAUAAUUGAAAAGGAAAGGAUAACUACCAAGUUUACCUCUCGGCAAGGCGUUCGGUGUUUUUUAAGUCCUCCGAACGGGACUCUCCAUUUUUUCAGUAGUCCUGAGGUUCGUUGGUGGUGUAGUCGGUACUUCCAGCGGCGCCUCCUCUUCAUGUAUAGUUAUCUUCAUUUUCCACACCUGACUUGGUGCUUCGGUCUACUCUGGAUAAUUCUGUUUAAACUCUACGUUUUCUGACCUUACAACUUUUCCUUCAUAGUCUGCCCAUCCGUCCUUGAUGAUCUGCCUCCUCUGGUUGCGGUUACGUCUUUUCCUUACCUGCUUAGAUUCUUCAACGAUAUAGUUAGGGUCAGUAAAAUAACGGCGUACCUUCUCUAAGGGGAAGUGCAUAUGGACUUCUCCGGUUCCAAUGUAGAUAAUUGCUUUAACGGUGCUGAGGAACGGUCUUCCAAGGAUGAUGGGUGGAUCGUACUUGUCUUCUCCCAUGUCAAUAACUUGAAAGUCUGUGUAGACAAAGUGAUCGUCUAUUUUGACUGGGACAUCAGUUACUAUUCCUUUAACUUCUCAAAAUGUCUGAUCUGCCAUCUGGAGUUGAAUGUAUGUUGGUCUUAGUGGCAUGGUUCCAAACAAGAGCCGAUAGGUGACUGCGGCCAUUAUGUUGACGCCCGAUCCAGUGUCGCAAAUCAUCUUGAAGAAACUAUAUCCAUUUAUGGAGCAGUAGAUGCUUGGCAUUCCUAGGUCGUCCUUCUUGGUCAAAAGCGGUGACUUAAGUUGGUGAUCUUGGCCUCCAUGAACUACAGUGACCAUCUUAGCUGACUCGGUCCACACUUGCUUGUUCCUGUUCCUCCUGUUGGUCCUCUUCCUUGACUCACGUCUGGAUUGAUCUGGAAUUUUUGUAAUCUUUUUCUUGAAGAAAAAUGUCUCCUUCUUCCCUUUGACGUAGAAACUGAUCUUGGCAGCACUAGCGUAGAUGAUAGCUCCCGUGGUGUUCAAGAAUGGCCUCCCUAAGAUGAUGGGUGCUCUCUCAUCAUUUCCGGUCUUUACCACUACGAAGUCUGCUAGGGCAUACAAGGUACCAACUCGGACGCAAAGGUUCUUCAAUAUUCCCUUUGGAAAAGUUAUCGUCUGAUCUGCAAAUUGCAAACACAUGGUUGUUUCUAAUAAAAGAUAUGUAAAGAAUUUUUCAUAGAGUACCCUGGUUAUAAUGUUGACACUGGAGCCAAAGUCGCAGAGUGCUUCUGGAACGUCCACCAUGCCGAUAGAGAUCGGGAUGACGGGGCGUCCUGGAUCGCCUCUCUUGACCGGCAGAAGGUCAGUAGAGAAUUUAGUGACGGGGUUACUUCCAAUUACCUGCAUCAAACGUGUCUACAAGAUUUGCAGAUUCUAAUCCUUCCGGUUGUGAUUGUAUACCGGGGUUAGUAGUAGGAACAGCAACAGCUAUUUGAUUUAACUGAGAUUCAAUCAUUUUAUUAAAGCUAAUUUGAUUCUUGAUGGCAGUAGAGAAAUUAUCCAUUCUAUUAUUUAUAUUUUCUAGCAUUUUAUCAUUAGAUGCCAAUUUCUUAGAUAGAUUAUCCAUUAGCUUUCCUUGAUUAGACACUAACUCUCUCAAAGGUGGAAAAUUAUUAGCAUUAUUGUUGUAAGAAUUGUUACCUUGAUAAUUACCUGAGUAGUUAGGCCUCUGUUGAUUCCAACCUUGAUUUUGUUGAGGACGGUUGUAGUAGUUGUUGUUGUUGAUGAUGUAGUUCACAUCCUCAAGCAUCUCAGGGCAGUGGUUGCCUGAGUGUCCAGUGUCUCCACACUCCUCACAAGUCAUGUGAGAGUCGUAGAUGUGCAUAACUUCUUUCUUGUCUCCAACUCUAUCAUCGAGCUUCUUCAUGAGCAGGUCUAGCUUUUGCAGACAGCAUGUCUACAUCUUUCAGCUGAUGCAUACCUCCACCUCUCUUGCGUGUCUGGGUCCUCUCUUCAUUCCAGCUUUGGUUGGACGCCAUCUUCUCCACAAGAGCUGUGGCUUGUGGUAUUGUAAGUGAUAAGAAUGCUCCUCCAGCUGCAGCAUCCAUGGUCUCUCGGGCACUGUUGCCGAGCCCAUGAUAAAACGUCUGCAUUAAUAGCCAACUCUCCAUUCCAUGAUGGGGACAUUCUAGGAUGUAGUCUUGAAAGCGCUCCCAUGCUUCUGGAACAAAUUCAUCAUUUUGUUGCUGAAAACUUGUAAUCUUCCCACGGAGAGCAUUGGUCUUGCCCAUGGGAAAGAACUUAGCCAAAAAGUUUGUUGAGCAGAGUGCCCACGUAGUAUUCUUCUCCUUUGUAGCGUAGAACCACUGCUUCGCUCUUCCUCACAGUGAGAAUGGGAAGAGGCGAAGUAGUAUAGCAUCUUUGGGAACUCCUGAUAUGGUGAAUGUGUUGCAAAUCUCCAAGAAGUGUUGUAAAUGAGCACUAGCAUCUUCGUGUGCCUUCCCACAGAACUGGUUGGAUUGCACCAUGUUGAUAAGUCCAGGCUUGAGCUCAAAGUUGCCAUCGAUCUCUGCAGCAGGUCCAGUGCGGAUGUUGUCCGUAGUGGGAGCUGAGAACUCGCGGAUUGAUUUGUUCGCCAUGGCUUCAAACUCUGAAGACAAGUUCCGGUGAUCUUCUUGAUUUGGAUGAAGCUUCUUGCUGAAGUGUUGAUGAUUUCUUUAGCUUGGCUCUCGUCUUCUUGAAUAAUGCUUCGGGAUUAUUAACAAAAUUUCCUGGAAGAUGUCUUCUAUUCAUACAUUCCCCUGCAUAAGAUGAAAUAGGAAAAUAUCGGGGUAAAACUGUAUGAGAGAAUAGAUAAGCUCAAUCAUAUUAGUGAUGCAAAUGAUAACUCAAAAUCUUUUAUUCCAUUCCUGAUUAGUAAUCAACCUUCCCCGGCAACGGCGCCAAAAAUGCUUGUUGGGUAUUCUUAACAUCAUUACCAAAAGUAGCUAAGUUCUCUAAAUCUAGUAACGGUGCCAAAAAUGCCAAACCUAUCCCUCACACCACUUAAGCCAAGUUGUCAUCCCCAACAUGAUAUAAGAGACGCGGUAUUGAAAUAUGCAAUUGCUCUUCUAAAUAAAUAAUGAAUGGGAUCUGCAAGCGCACAGAUUAAUACCGAUGCAGCAUUUUAACCGGGAAGUAUUCCAGGUAUCGUUAUUUAUAUUUUUACCACUGGGAAGGGAUUAGCAAUCAUCAAUAUUGAUUACAGAAUAGAAUAUGAGAUUGAGCAUCUAUCAUUGCAUGUAUAAUUGAGAACAUUAUAUCUAACUCAUCAUACAGGGAUAAGUGUCACAUAAAAGAUAUAUGAAAUAGUGAAUAGUGACAAGGAUAAUUAAUCUGAUCUAGCCACAUAAUAAAUAUGAUAAGCACCUCAAUUAGAUACUCUAGAAAGUCAUUAGCAUGGUAUUAGAACGAACUACAUGAAUAUUCCCUAAGUUAUUCUCAACUAUAUAGUCUAGCAUUAUCAUAAUUAGUGCAAGCAUACUUAGCAAUCAUCGCGAGACAAGACUACGCCCAUGCAUAGUGAUAUUAGCAAGGAAUAUGAGAAACAUAGCAAUCACUCCCCUUUAAUAAUGUUGCUCUGCCAACCCAAUACACGAGAGGGGGACUAUAUAAGAAUCAAUGAAGCUGUCACUAUCACGAACUACCCCACGAUCUGGCAUAUUGGGUACAAUCACAGAUAAAUACGGUAUAAGCACCACGCCUACACAAUAUCUAUCAUUUACCCAUGGAUCCGAUGGAUAAACGCUAUACGAUCCUAAGCAUGUAUAUAGAUCGAAUCUAACUAAGCCAAGUACAUAACUAUGAUAAACUAAGAACAAUAUAAUCUUGAAUAUAAGCAAGUAGAGCAAAGUCAUAAGCAAUAUAUUGAAGUAGAACAAAGUCAUAUUCAUAAUAUUGAAGAACAAAGAUAAUUAGAAGGCAAUUAGAAGCACAAUUAGAGAAUUACCAAGAAUCCUCUUGACAGAUCCGGAAACCAAUCGAAGAUUGACUCCUUCUAGUUCUAAUCCUAUGUAGCUAUGCUAAUCUAGAUGUCUAAUUGAUGUGGUGGCUCUAAUCUUGAUCAGGGGCUUCUUCUCCCUUGAAGAACAAUGAAUUAGGGUUGAGAGGCUCCCUCCUCCAGGGGCCAGGGGGUCUGGUUUUAUAGUCCCUUCAAGUGAAUAUGGGCCGUUGGAUCAAACCGACAUAGAUUGUAUGGUUUAGAUUCAUCCUUUAGGUCGGUGGAAAUCUCCCGCAAAGCAGAGUCCUGAUUGGACUCAGAGGCAGGGCGGGCGCCCUGACCAACUGGGCGGGCGCCCAGGGUCUGGCCCCGUUUCGCCUCCGCUUCGGUCUCGUGGCUUCUGCAGUCUUCUAGAUGUAAGAUAAUUGCGCGUCACGUUAAUAUCUUUACGUAAUCCCGACGUGUGGGUCUUUCUUCCGUAUUUCCUGAUAACUCCCUGCAGAAAUAGACAAACACAAAAACUCGUGGAAUUCUGUCAGAUAAAACCCUAAGUCUAGAUGUUGAUUUCAUUUGGAUCCUUUUCUUUGUUUAUUUGAUAAUUAAAUUUGAUACUUAAGGACCGUCAACAAACUCCCCCAAGCUUACCUCUUGCUCGUCCCUGAGCAAGGAUAGACUCAGCUAUGGAUCAUAAGUUGUUGCAAUAUAUUUAAAAAUUGACGGUACACAUGCUUUUUAAAUAAGAUCUCAUCUCUAAGUUAGAGUAAACUGUCAAGACUUAAAACUUACUUACUUUACCUUCACCAUGGGACUUGUAACUGUCACUUCUAUCUUGAGUAGUUAAAAGAUAGAACAGUCUAGUCAAGUGCCAUGUCUCUUAUUCUUGAUCAGCUAUAGCUCUGGGGUUUUUGCAGAUUUUCAAAUAAAACUCAGAGAUUCCUUGUAUGAUUCUCUCAGAUCUCUCUUUUGUGGUAUUUCUGGAUCCUUACCAAGGCAGUAAUGGUAUAUGCCUUCUCUCAAUAUAUGUGGUAUUUGUGGUAUAAAGCAUAGUGACAUUGCCUUCUCUCUCACCCUACUCUAAUAAGGCUUUAAUAUCUGGAGCUCAUAGGUGGGAGAUAAAGUAUACAUACUUACAAGACAAGUAUUGUAUAGUCAAACCAUGGAUCCAAAGAAACAAAUCAAUAAGCCAAAUCAAGAUGUGCAUGUGUGGCGAAUGAAUGAUGUAUGGUGGUGAUGGUGAUAACAAUGGUGAAAACAAUGGUGGUGGAAGUCUAAUUCUACUUUGCUCUUUGAGGGGAUACAUACCUUCCUUGCUUUUUUUUUGAAUUUAUGAGGAGAAUGAGAUGCUCUUCUUUUUUUCUUUUCUCUCAGGUGGGUAUCUUGUACCCCUAAUUCUACUGUCGGACACUUGUCCAUUUUUACGUCUCGUCUCACUCUCUCUUUUCUUUCGAGGUUCCGAGCACUUGCUCCUUUUUAUUUCCUCGUAUUUCUCUUUUUUUUUCUUUUUCUUUUUUUUAGAGCAUUCAUCUCUUGAGAUAAUAUAGCAAGUGGUAGUAACAAGAUAACUUGAGCAUUUAUUUCACAAGGGAAAACAGAAAUAUUUUUGGCUAUUCUCUCCCGGAUUAGGAGUAGAAUAUUUUUGGGUGAUUCCGGAGUAGAAGUAGCAUAUAUGAGUGAACGUGCAAGUGAAUCUUGAUUUAACCACAUGACAAGUUCGUAAGGGUCUACACAGCUUGACCACACUCAAUGCUCAUAAGCAGUAAAUAGUAAAUGUGUGGCUCAAAGUCUAGCAAGCAUGUAUAUAUGGCUGUGGUAGGAAUUUAAACUCUCAUCAUACAGGAACUCAUCAUGCAACAUUUUAAAGAUUUUCAAAGAUAAAAUUCUCUAGAAAUCUAGCAUCUCUAGGAACAGAUAAACAGCAGCUCAACCUUCCCAUAUCGUAUCCGUUAACAACUUAGACUUCAGAUCAAAUUUUCAUCCCACAAGUUUAGGUCUAGAGCAAGCUUUAAAUUAUAACAGUUAUAUCUAACCUUGAGAGUGAACUUAAAAUGUGCAAAUUAGGCAGAGCAACUAUUCAUCAUUUCCAUGCUUAAGUUUUAUUUAGAUACAGAUUAGCAUCGCCACUUUAUUUAUUUAUUAAACACACUAAGCAAAAGAUAUAUAUAUAAGCUUAAAAUCUUUAUUUGGUUUUUUAUAGUUUAUGUAUAUUUAAUAUUCUAAUAUAAUAUAAGUAUAAAGAUAGAUAGAAAUACUUAUCGAGAUAAAUGGGGGUGCUCUCUCCCAAGCUGAAUUUUGACGAAGUCAGCAGCAUUCUGACAGCGAUUAGAAUGUCCUCCGUCUGCUAGUCUUCUUGAUUCUUAAAUUCUGCGGAGCUCAAAUAGACAACAAAGCUUGUGGAACUGAUUAAGUGUUAGCAUAAAUAUCUAGCCUUUAUCAUCUUGAGACUCCUUAAUAAUUAUUACUCCCUGUUUUUAUAUUUUUAUUUUAUAAAGCAGAAAAGAAAUUUUUAUUUUAUUUUUAUGCCACCACAGUGAAUGUACUUAUGGGUUUUAUGCCACUCGCAUACUCACAUGUACUUAUGGGUUUUAUGACUUUCCUUACCGUUCCUAUGUGUUUCCCUCUUGAUUCCCUUUUUUGACUCCCUGGCAACGGCGCCAGAAAUGCUUGUUGACACUAGCUAACACCACUUAGAUACUAUGUUGUCAUCCCCAGCAUGGUGCCAGAGUGUACAAAGGUAUUUAUGAAUAUGGAGGCUCUCUAGAAAAUAAUCUAUUCUAUCCACAUGCGCACAGAUAAAAUACCUCAUUGUAGCAUUUCACCAGGAAAGUAUUCUAGGUAUCGUUAUUUAUAAUUUUGCUUAAGACAACAAGGGUGAAAUUAAGAUAAGGAUAAAAUCUAUCAAGGCAUAGACUAGAGAUAAACUUGCAACAACAUGAUUACUAAUGAGGAACUCGUCACACAGUCACUUAUUUUGGCAGGGGGUAAGCCAUAAUAAUAAUGAUAAUGAAAUAUAAGCCCAUGGGUAAUUAACACAGCGAUUAGAAAAUAGACUACUCCUGGUGACGUCGGAUUAGCUAGAGAAUGGAUUCUAAGUUAUCUACUAUCUACUAAGUCACAAUCUACUCUAGUUAUCUACAAGAUCAUAUAUAGCAUAAAACACUCUUCAUUUAUGUAUAAGGAACAUUGCUAAAGUAAAUCAGAGCAUUGCAAGACUUACUCCGCAAUACAAAUUCUGCCAGUCCUAUCAACGGAGGGUGGACUAUAUAAGAAUCAACGAAGCUGUCACUAUCACAAACUACCACACAACCCGACUAAUAGGAUACAUUUGCAGGUAAAUAACAUCUAAGCACCACGCCCACAUGUGAUCUACCACUUAACUCCCACGUGUCA